Molecule: long non-coding RNA, 3446 nt
Organism: Triticum dicoccoides
Lineage: Eukaryota; Viridiplantae; Streptophyta; Magnoliopsida; Poales; Poaceae
Exons: 5
Source: RefSeq, a predicted model, not a curated record
CGCUAUCUGAUAAGGUCCCGGCCCACCCCACCGACAGCCUCUCUCUGUCUUCCCCGCAACACCUGCGUCUCUCUCUCUAUUCUCUCUCUCACUCUUCCCCGCGGAUCUGGAUCAGAGGGGGCUCACCGGCCUCUCCCCUCAACGCCGACCACCAAGAGCCUCCUACUAACCGGCCACCACGCUCCACCGGCGGAUCGGAGGAGGGGAGGACCACCCCGGCGUGGCUCUGCCCCGAGGUCGUCGUCGCACCACCACCACGACGAUUGUCUUGGACGCACCACCACCAGCCUACUCCACCAUGGCGUCCUCUGCAACUGCCCCGUGCUCCCUGGGCAACCAAAUCCAGCCCCACCACUGCCGUGCCCUGCCGUCGUCGACGGGACGAUGCGGCCGUUGUCUCCUUCCUCUGCCCGAGGCUUGUUGAGAUCCUUUCUCUCCGGCUCCGAUUGAGCCCACUACCCCCCAUAUGCUUGCUCUUUGAUGAUCUCCUCCACGCGUCUGGAUGCCGUGAUGGCGGAGGUGGAGGAUCCGCUGGUCACGGUGGCAUCUGAUGUCUGUGUCGCACUGGCGGGGAUGGAGCAGCCUCCGGCGGUGGUGGUGUCUGAUGUGGUCUUUCUGGUAUCAUGAUCUGUUGAGUGGAGGUGCAGCAGUGUCAGGUCCCAGCGCCGACUGCGAUUCUGGCCUGAUUCAGGCAGAAGGGUCCCGUGGGAGAGCAUUGACACCUUCUCGUCGGAAAUUCGUUGACUGGACCAUCAUAGCCUAGCGAUUCUGGCUGCCUGCAUGUCAAUACAAUGUAGUAGUAUUUGCUAGUAGUCCUGCUACAUGAGUCUAGUUUAUAUUUACAUUUUUAAUGUUUGUUUUCCUUUUUCUAAUUUAGUGCUAGUCUGCUACUCAGUACAUGACUGAAGCAAACUAGUCCAAUUCUAUGUGUGUUUCAUCUUCCUUGCAGAAACUGAAUGAUUGGGUGGUGAAAUAGGUGUUUUCUUUAGUCAACUAACACUGUAACAUUUGUAUGUUACGGUUUUUGGGCGGCGAUUUGAGUUGGAAUAGGAGGAGGAAAGUACAUAAGAGUAUCGAGAGGAUAGUUCUAAUGUUAUUGCUCAAUCCUCUCAAAAUGCAUCUGUGUGGUUUCUGUGUUUUCUUGCAUGCAUAUAAGUAACCAGUUGGCUAGUUUGUUGUCAUAGUUGCACAGAAACACAAAUGUAGUUGGAUCAUGCAUAUACAUAUCUCAGUUGGCUAGCCAACUUAUGAAGUUGCACAGUGAGGGCUAACCAGUUGCACAAGCAAUGGUAUUCAGAUGGAUACACUAUGUAAACCAUGUUCAAGCAAUAUGUGUGUUCUUUUGGUUGCACACUCAUGUGUGCUCUGUUUUCACAAGGCAUGCAUUCAUACAUGAGUUUGCAAAUCAAGGUAGUAAAUAUCCUAGCUGGCUUAGUCACACUUAUGCAGUUGUACAGGGAAGGCUAUAUAGUUGGUUGACAACUAGUUUAGUUUUGGCUCCAAUGCCUAAAUCAUGACCAUGCAGUGUGUAUGCUGAUUUUUUGGUUGCACACUCAUGUGUGAUCUGUUGGCCAUACAGUGCAUCAAGUUGCACACAUUUUGUUUUGUUUUGUAGGUGUGCUUUGGAAAAUCAACAUUACUUGCUUACCUCAUGGCAUUUUUUUGAUAUCAAUUGUUUUUGCUCAUUUUUACUUUUUAAUACGUUUGGUUGCUUCGACUAAUUUGUUUGUUCGCUUUUUUUUCACAGACCAAAAAUGGUUGUAGAAGGAGAUACGGCUCCUAGUGAAGGAGAGGGGCCGUAAACAAUUCUUCUUGGCGGAAUUCGAAACAGCCCGCCAAGUGGCAGCCGCGUCGUGCUCAUAUCGAUGGGGAGGCAGAGGAUGAUGAGGUUGGUGACCCAUUCCGCUUCGUGAGACGGCAGAAACGGAAGGCGACCACGUAGGUUGGAGUUGUGGCUGGAGUUGCCACACCGUCUGCAGCAUCUGCCGAGGUUUUACAGGUUAUGGGGGUGGAUGAACUGACAAUUCUAAGCUACAAAGUCACAUAUACUACUGUGUGGAAAGAUUAAAGGAAAAACAUAUACUUCUUGUCUAGUUGGUAGUUAUAUUUUCAUAGUACCUACAAUAUGUUUUUUGCUACAGUGACACCAGUUCUUCUGCAUUAUGUGUGAAAUAAGACUCUAUAUGUGCUCUCUUAUAUAUAUUUGCAUAUUUUCUAUGUUUUGUUGCACACAUUGCAGCAAAAGUUGACUUGUUUUAUGAUCUAGUUGCACAAAAAUUAGUUAAAAUUGCACAGCUACCGCAUCUCCCUGUUUUUUAUCCUUGUUUGUGUUGUCUUCAAGUAUUUAGAAGCUAUUUUUACAAGAGAAAUUUGGUGUGGGGGUGAAAGAGAAAGUCAAGGAGGGAGGAUCUGGACAGGAGGAGAAAAGGAUCAACCUCUUUUUUCACCCUUGUUGGUGCUGCCUGCUCUGGCGAUGGAGAUCCAGAACUGGGAACCCCUUGUUUUCGUGUGGAAGAAGGUGGGGGCAGGUAGGGGCAUGGGGAGAAGAAGUUGGUGGCCAAGAGGGUGUGAGAGUUUCGAGUGCUUCAGGAGGGGAGGGAAGGGCACGUGAUAUCCUGGGGACCGCGUCCAGUGUGUGGUUGGCGCGGUCUGUAGCUGGCUUUUCUUUUUAGUGUGUAGUUUGUUGGGUUUGCGCGGGUCUGUAGCUGGCUUUCCUUUUCUGGGAUCAGGUUGACCGAAUCUUUCUUUUUCUGGUGGCCGCUCGGGAACGUUAGGGAGCAGCUGGCCGCUCCCUAGACGUGUUCAAAAAAAAUCCCCACGACCCACCUCCCGCAAGCCGUAGUCCCUCGAUACCCACCUCCCGCAGUCCCUCGAUCCACUCCACCCUGACCCAUCGGCGCCUCCCCCCACCAGCCCGCCGCCUGCUGUAACCCCCUCUCACUGCUCCGCCGGCGCGGAUCCGGCCGCCGCCCCCGCCCCCUGCCCUGUCUCCAACCGGCGCCACCGCCUCGCGCUCUGCCGCCAAUCGCGCUCGUCGUCGUUGGCUGCUCGCAUCCCCGCCACCAGGACCUCGCCCCGUCGCCGCCCACCACCAGGACCUCGCCCCGCCGCCGCCCACCACCUGGAGGUCCCCUCUCUGCGCGUGGAUCUGGUCUUUCCCGAGCUCCCCCCGCGACGGAGGAACACAGGGCAGAGGCACCGGCGCCGGGAGGAGCAGAACAGGGCCCAAGCACCUGCCGCCCGCCAAAUGCUGCUCCCCGAACUUCCUAGUGCAUACUAGCUUCCUUCAUCGAGGCCCCCCUGGCGAUGGUUUGUGUUUGUUGCCCACAUGUUCAUGUUAAUGCUAGGAGGAGUGCUGCUAUUGAAUUUUGUUUGUUGAUGCUGGAUACAGUAUUGAACUAUGUAUAGUUAGUGAAAAAUUGGACCCCUCCCUAUUGUUACUGAUC